Molecule: ribosomal RNA, 468 nt
Filed under: uncultured bacterium
Lineage: Bacteria
Description: partial 16S ribosomal RNA
Rfam family: Bacterial small subunit ribosomal RNA
Source: RNAcentral
GACGAACGCUGGCGGCGUGCUUAACACAUGCAAGUCGAACGGAAAGGCCCUGCUUUUGUGGGGUUCUCGAGUGGCGAACGGGUGAGUAACACGUGAGUAACCUGCCCUUGACUUUGGGAUAACUUCAGGAAACUGGGGCUAAUACCGUAUAGGAUCUCCUGCUGCAUGGUGGGGGUUGGAAAGUUUCGGCGGUUGGGGAUGGACUCGCGGCUUAUCAGCUUGUUGGUGGGGUAGUGGCUUACCAAGGCUUUGACGGGUAGCCGGCCUGAGAGGGUGACCGGGCACAAGAGGACUGAGAUACGGAGCAGACGCGUACGGGAGGCAGCAGUGGAGAAUAUGGCACAAUGAGCGGAAGCGUGAGGCAGAAACGCCGGGUGCGGAAUGACGGCCUUCGGGGUGUGAACCGCUUUCGCCUGAGACGAAGCGUGAGUGACGGUAAUGAAUAAAGAAGCACCGGCUAACUACGUG